UCAUUUCACUUCAAGAAAAAUGGACCAGAAUGGUUUCAGCAAAGAAUCCUUUGAAUCUGUAAAGUAUAACUUCUUCUUCAGAUAGAAGCAGUAAAGGAGCAUGAUCUUAUUUCACAUUUUGCCUCAAAACAUGUAAUUAUAGCUCAGUUAUUUUCCUUUCUCUCUCCACCUGCUGGACAAGUUCAAAUUAAUACAAAAGGCAAAACUGAGAGCCCUGUCACCUGAGCUGCAGCUCAGACCAAAGGCAGCUGGGAGCAUUAGGCAUCUUCCAGGACAUGUCCAGAGAAGCAGAGAAACCUUCACAACUUGUGAAAAUUAAGUCUGAAAAAGUUUUAGAGAGAAUUAAAAUGGGCAGGAAUAACAUUCCAUUUCAUCAGAUAGAUUCAACAGCUUAAAACUGAAUAGCAGAGUUGCAAGAUCAGGAUUUUUUCCUUGCUGCCUGCCAAGCAAGUCAGAUCUUCAACAUAUUCUUUUAUUUCAGUCUACCUAAUGAACAGCAACAGGAUACAAAAAUCCUGAUUCAGCUCUGAGCCUGUUUACCAAUCAUCAGCCCAAGAAAGAGAGUAAUUCCUGAGAGGAAGGGGUUGAUAAUAACCUAAACUCAAAAUAAGCCCCACCUUGUCUUUGACUUACAGAUGUUAGCAGACAGGAACCAUAUUCUCAGGGAAGCUACGAUGUGCUUGUACCUACUGCAUCAGUGAGUCCGAACAUCUAUGUAGACAUUCAAACUAAAACUUCCAGCUUUUUAAAUCACAAGUUAUAACUCUUAUUCCAUUUCCUACAAGUGAACCGACACCUAAAAAAAUCUGGCUGUUCUGAAGACAUGGAAUGCAGAGACCUGGCUGAGGAUAAGGCCUGGCAAUAUUCCAAUAUUCUUAGGUAAAAAGAUGUACUAAGGAGCUAGAUUUAAAAUAAAUAAAUAAAUAAAUAAAA
This is a long non-coding RNA of Oxyura jamaicensis (ruddy duck), 933 nucleotides long. RefSeq lists it as uncharacterized. The record is from RefSeq and is a predicted model, not a curated record. The transcript is spliced from 2 exons. NCBI's taxonomy places the organism in Eukaryota, Metazoa, Chordata, Aves, Anseriformes, Anatidae.